CGCAUCUGUGCAUGCAGCAUAUCAAUAAGCGGAGGAAAAGAAACUAACAAGGAUUCCCCUAGUAACGGCGAGUGAAGCGGGAAGAGCUCAAAUUUGAAAUCUUAAAGGGUUUCCCUUUACGAAUUGUAGUUUAAAGAAGUGUUUUCUGUUGAGGUUUUGGUAAAAGCUCUUUGGAAUAGGACAUCAUAGAGGGUGAGAAUCCCGUAUUUGACCUUUACUUUCAACUUUGUGAUACACUUUCAAAGAGUCGGAUUGUUUGGGAAUGCAGUCCAAAAUGGGUGGUAAAUUUCAUCUAAAGCUAAAUAUUGGCGAGAGACCGAUAGCGAACAAGUACCGUGAGGGAAAGAUGAAAAGAACUUUGAAAAGAGAGUUAAACAGUACGUGAAAUUGUCAAAAGGGAAGCGUUUGACACCAGUGUUGUUUUUCUGAAAAUCAAUUAAAGAACUGUUUAUGCUAAGCUGUUUAGACUUUAUCAGCUAAUCUGUUUAGUUUUGAGCUUUUCUUUAAUGCACUUUUCAGUUAACAAGUCAACAUCAAUUUCUUUUGCUGUAAAAAAGCUUGAGGAAGGUGGCUUGAGAUUCGUCUUAAGUGUUUAUAGCCUCUUGCCUAUGCAGUCGGAGAGAUUGAGGUCUGCAGCGUAGAUCCUUCGGGGCUAAAUGCAUUUGUGCUAAGUUAUAGCAUUUUAUAGACAACUUGUUGACUAUGAUUUGUCUUGUAGCUUACUCGCUUAUGUUAUUUUACCUACGCUUAGGAUGUUGAGUCAUCACACAUCUCU
This 775-nucleotide ribosomal RNA is filed under the name uncultured Neocallimastigales. Its description in RNAcentral is "partial large subunit ribosomal RNA". It matches the Rfam family "Eukaryotic large subunit ribosomal RNA", at positions 26 to 614 of the family's 3401-position model. The record is from RNAcentral. Lineage: Eukaryota; Fungi; Neocallimastigomycota; Neocallimastigomycetes; Neocallimastigales.